AUUAAAACCACCUGCUUUAUAUUGUGCAUGUUCCUCGCAUGCUGCCGGAACAGCACUGAUGCAUUGAGCCAUGGACUCCACAAGACUUCUAAACGUGUCCUGUGGUAUCUGGCACUAAGACAUCAGCAGCAGAUCCUUUAAGUCCUGUAAAUUGCGAAGCGGAGCCUCCAUGGAUGGGAUUUGUUCUUCCAGCAUAUCCCACAAAUGCUCAAUCAAAUUUAUAUCUUGGGAACCUGAAGGCCAAGGCAACAUCUUGAACACUUUGUCAUGUUCCUAAAACAAUUAGUUUUUGCAGUGUGGCAUGGUGAAUUAUCCUGCUGAAAGAGGCCACUGCUAUCAGGGAACACCACUGCCAUGGAGGGGUGUACGUAAUUUGCAACAAUCUCUUGGUACGUACAUGUCAAAGUAACAUCCACAUGAAUGCCAGGGUCCCAGGUUUCCCAGUAGAGCAUUGCCCAGAGCAUAACAUGGCCUCC
Pelobates cultripes (western spadefoot toad) is the source of this 476-nucleotide non-coding RNA. NCBI's taxonomy places the organism in Eukaryota, Metazoa, Chordata, Amphibia, Anura, Pelobatidae. The record is from the annotation of a GenBank genome assembly.